RNAcentral lists this long non-coding RNA (1110 nucleotides) under Homo sapiens (human). RNAcentral's name for it is "HSALNT0359600". The record is from RNAcentral. Lineage: Eukaryota; Metazoa; Chordata; Mammalia; Primates; Hominidae.
UUUUUUUUUUUUCCCGGGGAGUCGGCCUCGGGGCUCUGCUCUCCUACCUCAGUCUGCCCUACCCUGGAAUGGGGAAAAUGCGGACAUGCCACUCAGUCCGGCCGCGAACAGUGCUCCAGAACUCAGAGAGUUUUCCAGACGGGUGGAGAUCGCGUUCCCUGCCCGCCGAGGUCCCAUCGCUUCCCUGCUGGGAAGACAAAUGAGGCGCUUUAGCCGUCUCCACGGCCAGCCCCUCCCUCAUAACCCGAGAUUCUUUGUGGGCUCUUAGUCCAUAGCUGCCUUUGAGGUGGUGUAGACCUUGCUAACCAGGACGGCCCAGUAGGCAGAGCUCAUUUUUAUUCCUGUCUGCAAUCGUGCAAAAACGCCUCUUAUGGAAAAGCCAGAGCGCCAGGAGUCAGCAAAACACACUAAAGAUUGGGCAGUCACUGGGGAGAACAUGGCCUGAAGCAACUGAAGAUCCACAAAAGAAGUGAAAAUAGCCUUAACUGAUGACAUUCCACCAUUGAGAUUUGUUCCUGCCCCACCCUAACUGAUACGAUAUAUUCUCCCCCGCCCUUAAGAAGACUCAGCCCGCCUGCACCCAGGUGAAAUAUACAGCCUUGUUGCUCACACAAAGCCUGUUUGGUGGUUUCUUCACACGGAUGCAUGUGACAUUUGGUGCUGAAGACCCAGGACAGGAGGACUCCUUUGGGAGACCAGUGCCCUGUUGUCGCCCUCACUCCGUGAGGAGAUCCACCUAUGAUCUCAGGUCCUCAGACCAACCAGCCCAAGGAACAUCUUGCCAAUUUCAAAUCGGAUAGGAGUGUCAGGCCUCUGAGUCCAAGCUAAGCCAUCAAAUCCCCUGUGACCUGCACGUGUACAUCCAGAUGACCUGAAGCAACUGAAGAUCCACAAAAGAAGUGAAAGUAGCCUUAACUGAUGACAUUCCACCAUUGUGAUUUGUUCCUGCCCCACGCUAACUGAUACCAUAUAUUCUUCCCCCGCCCUUGAGAAUGUACUUUGUACACCUAUCCCAAACCUAUAAGAACUAAUGAUAAUCCUACCACCCUUUGCUGACUCUCUUUUUGGACUCAGCCCGCCUGCACCCAGGUGAAAUAAACAGCCCUGUUG